AAUAAGCAUGUGUUCAGAGUCAAACCCAAUUCCCUUUCCCUUAACUCCACGUAGCCCUCAUCUGGUUGUUACCGGAAUCCUCGCAAACAAAAUCGGAGGAACCUGUUAUCCUGUGUUAAUUAUGUCUUAUGAGAAUGGUACCGACUUCAAUUUCAUCACAACUACUUCUACUCGAUCACAUUCACGUCCCUGCGGUUGUUCGCUUUUUCAUCUUAUCUUAAGUUUUGUUGAGCACGUCGGUGGACCUUUGACUUGAGACUUUAGAAGUUCUUGACACUCGUUCAGGUAAUCAGGGGUGAUCGGGUUGUGCGCAGAGAGCGACUAGGCUUUGGAUCUGUGAAUUGAAGACUUUAUUUUUUUUUAUUUCGUGAACUUUUAGAUUGCUGAUUUUUAGUACCUAUUUUCUUCAGGUUGUUUUAGAAGUUGUAAGUUGGACUUUUUGGAUGGCUUGUUUUCUAUGUCGGACUCCAGUAGUUUAAGUUUUAAUUUGGACUGAAGGUUUUCUGUUAA
Molecule: long non-coding RNA, 510 nt
Organism: Helianthus annuus (common sunflower)
Lineage: Eukaryota; Viridiplantae; Streptophyta; Magnoliopsida; Asterales; Asteraceae
Exons: 3
Source: RefSeq, a predicted model, not a curated record